AUGGCACCUCACUGGGUGCCAGACAGCAUGACCAGGCUGGGGCCAGAGCAAUGAACAGGACCCUUGGUCCUGCCUUCACAGCGCUUCGGGUUGGGGGAGGGGUCCAGUCGGUCCUCAGAAAGAGCGGCUGAGGGAAGGGGGGAGCCUGAGUGUCCUCGCUGCCCGCAGUUCCAGGAGGAUGGAUUCCUGGUGCUGGAAGGAUUCUUGUCUGCAGAGGAGUGUGUGGCCCUGCAACAGAGGAUUGGCCAGAUAGUGGCCGAGAUGGAUGUCCCUCCCCACUGCCGUGCGGAAUUUCCUCCUCGCAUCCUCAACAAGGCAGAAGAGCAGCAGAAAACCCAGAUUAGCCCUGAGCUAACAUCUGCUGCCAAUCAUCCUCUUUUUUGCUGAGGAAGACUGGCCCUGAGCUAAUAUCUAUGCCAAUCUUCCUCUACUUUAUACGUGGGACUCCUACAACAACAUGGCUUGAUAAACGGUGCGUAUGUCCUUGCCCAGCAUUGGAACCAGUGAACCCCAGGUCACUGAAGCUGAGCGUGCGAACUUAACCACUGAGCCACCUGGCUGCCCCCCGCCCCAACACAGACACACACACAGUUCUCUUAACUUCCAUAAUCUGAAUUUAGGAGCCUGUCUCUGGCCGGCCCCCAAGUCAAAGCUGCAGGCCAGGCUCACUGAUGGGGCUCACUCAUGCUGAGGAGCUCCUGCCAUCUGGUGGGAACAAAGGGAAUUACAACAGCUGGAAGCUCUGCCACCCGGAGAACAGGCUCUUGGGAAGGAAAAAGGGUGACAGAACGAUAAUUUCCUCCCAAAGGUCGGUUUCAUUGGGCGACAUGGCAGCCUUCUAAGUGGAGAAAGGAGAGACGGGGGUCCUAUGUCCAGAGACAGGUCACUCAAAGGCUCCGAGGAGUGAGGGGGCCGAAUCUUGUGCCCUCCAAGCUGCCUUCUGAGAAUGCUCCAGAGACCAGGGAGGGGGUGGGGGAUGGAGGGGAGAAGAGUGUAUAUGCCUUGGUUUAUACUGCUUGCGAAGAGCUCGGCACCGUGCCUGGCACUCAAUAAGCCCUCAAUAUUCACUACUGAUAUCGUGAAAGACUUUGAAACGGGUAUUAAAAGAAAACCAGACCAGUGGAUGUCCUGUCUAGAUCUCCCUGCCGGCCGACCUCCACCGUUCCUUGUCUUUGAGUUAUUGGACAACUCUGUGAGUUGUACAGAACCGAUAAUCAUGCACAAGAUACUUGUCCACAGAAAGGGACAUAAACUGGGUCCAGCGGAAUGCAGUUGUUGCCCCGUAGACAGAUCAGUUUUGCAUCGAUGUGUAAAUUGGUUUCAGCAUUGGUUAAUGCCUAUAUGUAUGUGGUUCUUGGAAUUCUCCUUCGAACAUCUUACUGGUUCCCCCUGUGAAUUAACGAGUUCAGUAAAAUCCUUGACACAUUUAGC
This 1431-nucleotide long non-coding RNA is filed under the name Equus caballus (horse). RNAcentral describes it as "lncRNA (ENSECAG00000045654.1)". The record is from RNAcentral. Lineage: Eukaryota; Metazoa; Chordata; Mammalia; Perissodactyla; Equidae.